This is an RNA transcript of Chlorocebus sabaeus (green monkey), 2444 nucleotides long. It is a transcript of the gene named histone H2B type W-T, with no coding region annotated. The record is from RefSeq and is a predicted model, not a curated record. Lineage: Eukaryota; Metazoa; Chordata; Mammalia; Primates; Cercopithecidae.
ACAACAUAAGGAGUAUAUAUUAUAAUUUUGCAUCACGUAGAUGAUGGGAACAUCCUAAUGAGAGCAGCUCAUGCCAUAGUCACUACUGGCGUAGGCAAUAAAGGCUUUCUAGCCGUUGAGCCACCACAAGCCAUGGCUGAAUGUGUGGUGAGGUGACCUGGAAAUGAACCAGUGAGAACCUCCCUGGGAUGUUUAACCUUGCAGAUUGUGAAGAAAAACGAUGUGGCUCUUUCUCUGUUUUUUGUUUGCCUUUUUUUUUUUUUUUUUAAAGAAAAAUGUCAUGCUGACUUACUGAUAUGAAUACAGAGAUUGUUGUGGACAGGUCUCUUGUGCCUUGUACCAAACUAAGAGAAGGAUUGGCUUGCUAAACGUUUAAGUAGAUUUAUAAAAUCAUCAUUUGUAAUGGGGCUGUCCAGAAAUGGUUAACUAGAGUUCAGUCACGGAGCAUAUCAUAUACGAUGUUAUCUAAUAACAAAAAUGAGCCUUUUUGUCCUUCUUAAUUAUGAACCGAGUUAUUAGGAGUAGAAUAAGUUGUUUGUUAAAGACAUGACAUCAAAUACACUUGAAAGCCUGGCCUUUGAAAUGACAGUUCAUUGAUGACCUUUAUUUCUUUAGCAUUUCUUAAGAAUUUUCUUGUUCAUUUCCUGCAACUUAAUGUUAGUUAAAUGCAUUUAAGGAAUGUCUUUGCAUAUAUUGUCAGAGACUCUUGAAAGCUAUCUUUCUAACUUGAACAUAAUUUUCGGUUUUGGAAUCCCUUUCUCUCCCUCGUGGGCUUCCUAGGAGAUUUAAGAGGAUAUUUUUAACCCAAUAUCUCUUAAAAUUAUUAGCCAUUACCGCCUUCUGAGUUGUGAUUUGUGGUUGUUGUUUUGUUUUCCUUUUUUUAUAACUUUUUAAAACGUGGUCAACGUUCAGUGUUGUCAUAUGUUUUUAAUAAAAGCACCUUUCUGUUUCUAUUGUCUGCUUGGAGGCUGGGGUAUGGCCAUUUCUCAUUCUCCUGAUUCACGGAAGAUGUUGAUCAGAACUGAAGCCAGGAGCCAGACCGCUAGGUCCUUUGAUGCCCUGGAGCCCUCAGUAGCCAUGUCAGGGAGUUUCUGCUCAAGCCAGGUGACUUAGCCCAGGAUAACAGUAGAUUCUGAGAUGAGUGAGAAUUGUUCCACACGUGGCCACAGUCAUUCCUCUGGCACAGUGGACUUGGGUUCAGGAGGUCUGUCUCUCUUCAAGGAUCAUGAACUGAAAUUGCUAAACUUUGGGAGUUUUCAGUGACACCCUUCAAAGUGCUCACGGUGUGACAUGGAUCAGCUGAGAAGGGUGGAUGCGCUUUUGCCCUGUGAGGCAUCUGUCUGUGUAACUUUCUCCGAGCCAGGCCACAAGGGGCGCUUAGGCCCGCAGACGCGCACUGUGAUUGGUUGACGAGAUGCCAAGCAACGGGACCAUCCAGUCACCUUCAACGCAGGUAGGUUUGCUGAGAGACUCCCUGUGUGACACUUCAUCCAAUCAGAAGUGAAGCUGGCCCGAGACUUGGCGCCAUACUGCGUACCCAAGUGCCCCCGCUUCUCCGAUCCACAACCGCUAUUGUCUGGUCGUGCGGUGUAAUGGCCGCUGCAUCCGUCAUGGCUGAACCUUCCUCUGAGACGACCUCUGAGGAACAGCUGAUCACCCAGGAGCCCAAAGAGGCCGACUCCACGAUGGCCCAAAAGCAGAGCAAGCAGAGGAAGCGAGGGCGCCGUGGGCCCUGCAGGUGCCACGCCAACUGCCGCGGGGACAGCUUCGCCACCUAUUUCCGCCGGGUGCUGAAGCAGGUUCACCAGGGCCUCAGCCUUUCCCGGGAGGCCGUGAGUGUCAUGGAUUCUUUGGUCCAUGACAUACUGGACCGCAUCGCCACCGAGGCUGGUCGCCUGGCCCGCUCCACCAAGCGCCAGACCAUCACUGCCUGGGAGACCCGGAUCGCUGUGCGCCUGCUGCUGCCGGGGGAGAUGGGCAAACUGGCAGAGUCCGAAGGCACGAAGGCUGUCCUCAGAACUUCACUAUAUGCCAUACAGCAACAGAGAAAGUGAAUAGGCUGAUACAAGAAGCAAGGUAACCUUCCUAAACCUUUUCAACACCUCUCCCAUCGCGAAUCCAUAAUAUUAGAAAAGUGUUAUGAAAGUAGUUGAAGAGAAAUGCUCACUGCACAAGUGGACCAAGAAAACCCCCCAUGAAGACAGCAACAACUAAAUCGUUCUGGACGGUGCCGCCAGGUGAUCCUACAUGUCUGGAGCAACACUUUGAAAACCAAAGACACUUGGCAGAACCCUGUUCCUAUCCAGAAACAGAGCUGUGUACCUGGUCCAAAGCACCACAUCUCACUGAGUGACUUAUUUCUCAUUAUGCUAAUUGUUUUGCUUUAAAGCGCCAAUCUUUCUGUCAAAUGGGAUGUACAAAUAAAUUUCUAAGUUAUCCUUGCA